RNAcentral lists this ribosomal RNA (253 nucleotides) under uncultured bacterium. RNAcentral describes it as "partial 16S ribosomal RNA". It matches the Rfam family "Bacterial small subunit ribosomal RNA", at positions 524 to 776 of the family's 1533-position model. The record is from RNAcentral.
UACGUAGGGACCAAGCGUUGUUCGGAUUUACUGGGCGUAAAGGGCGCGUAGGCGGCAAUUCAAGUCAUCUGUGAAAUCUCCGGGCUUAACCCGGAACGGUCAGAUGAUACUGCUUUGCUAGAGUGCGGAAGGGGCAAUCGGAAUUCUUGGUGUAGCGGUGAAAUGCGUAGAUAUCGGGAGGAACACCGGUGGCGAAGGCGGUUCUCUGGGCCGACACUGACGCUGAGGAGCGAAAGCGUGGGGAGCGAACAGG